UGACAGUAAACAUGUCUUGACACAAGGCUGAAUACAGAAGUUACCUGAUCUUUGCCUUUUUUUGACAUAUGCAUAUGGAAAACAUUUGCUACAAAUCAAUCAAGAACCAAGACUUUGGCUUCUCUGUGUGAAUCUGUUCUUCCAGCACAAACAGCACUAGGCCAUUAAAACGAUAAGUUUCAUGAAUUUAGAAGAGGUAAUUCUGUAGUCCUUGCUUGGAUUUGAGUAGGAUGUUUCAGCAUCAUGAAGUCAUGAAGGAGCUAGGCCUUGAGCUGAAGUGUGACUGGAUCCAGAUGGAGGGUCCUGCCAUCAAAACUGGGAUAGAAGAUUGCUACAUGGUGGGAAUGCAUGGGGAAUAGAGAUUGCCAAUCACUGUAGGAGGCAUAGUCCUAAAUACCACUGCCCAGAGGAACACUUGCCACAGGAUAUUCUUACUGGAGCAGCUGCACGUUACCCAGCAACCAGUACAUGUCAGUUCCUGUUGGUUGGGAAAGCUGCAAGCUUGGCAUGUCCUCCACCUCCUACUCCAUCUACCUGACUCAGCAGGAUCUGCAGGCAGAAAUCCACAUGGGAGGAGCUGAUGAGGGAUCAGAUAGUCCGCCUGCAGUCCCUCAUCCAGGGACUCAGGGAAGAGCACAUGGAGCGGGCUGCUGAUUAAGAGGAGCACCAGGAGUGGGCUGCUGACCAGGAGGAGAGAAAGGCACCCUGGGAAGUCAUCAGCAUGACACCAUGUUCAGCACCCUCACCUCAAUGAUGGAGCACAUGGCAUUGUUCAUGGAGUGGGCCACCAGCCACCUCCCCACCCACCCCAUGACUUCCCUUCCAAGACUUUCCAGGGGAUGCCAGGGACCCACAACGCAGGGUGGUGGGACCAUUAGGGCAGCCAGAGCCUCCAGACCACUCAGAGGCCAGUGUCACUCCCAGUUCCGUCCCUGAGCCCUCCUCUCCUAUUCCAGCUUCUUUUCCCAUUACCUUCCCUGUGGUAUGUCCCCUCUGUAAAGAGUCCUGUUUUUUCAAAAAAGAUGUCUUUAUUGUUUGCUCUGCGGGGAGGAGGGAGUGGGCGAUGAAAGACACACACGGGGAAUACAGGGGCUCCUUGUCAAGAGCUAGUGGGAAGAGUCUCAGAACUGGACUUGCAUGAAACUCUCCUUCAAAGCCUCUCUGCCCCUUGCAGUGCUGUCCUGCUGGCACUGGUGUCUGGCUGCUCGAACUGCCUUGCCAGACAUUCAACCUCAGGCUCUCCACCCAGCAGAAAAGUCUCCCCCUUGCUUUUGCACAGCUUGUGGAGCACACAACAGGCUGCCACCACGAAGGGGAUGUUGCACUCACUGAGGUCCAGACAGCUGAGAAGACUCCUGAAUCUUUCUUUUAAAUGCCCAAAUGCACAUUUCACAAUCAUUCAGCACCUGCCCAGCCUGGUGUUGAAUUCCUCCUUGCUGAGGUCCAGGCUGCCCAUGUAGGGCUUCAUGAGCCAGGGGAGCAAGGUAUAGGCUACAUUGCCCAGGAUGGUGAUGGGCAUGUCCACCUCCCUGACUCUCAUAGUGCAGUCAGGGAAAAAAGUGCUGGCAUGCAACUUUCGGAAGAGGCAUGAGUUGCAGAAAAUGUGGGCAUCGUGAGCCUUUCCUGACCAUCCAACAUUGAUGUUGAUGAAGUGGUCCCAUCAGUCCAAGCUCGACUCCCUCUACGAGAAGCAGCUUUUCACAGUUUCCAAGGGAUGAGGUGUAUACGCAGCAGCAGAAGCACCAGGACCUGGCUGAGCAGGGCCUGUAGGCCACGCUGGGGUUUGUCCUCUUCAUCUUCAUCCUACUGGAACAACAUGCAGGCAGUUUGGAGGUACUGCCCCAUGAGGCGCAGCAUGAGGCCUGUGAGCCUGGCUCUGUUUUGCAGCAGCUCUGGCUCCAUAGUGUCAGUGCUGAGGUGUCUGUCAAGGCAACCAGAGCACAAGAGGGCAUGUGCCUACCGUGUCCUUUUUCUGUCCCAUGAGGGGGGAAGCAGUAGAAGAGUGGCUUCUGAGACAUGGCCAUAGAAAGGAGCCCCUAUAAGCACAGCCUGCCAGACCAAGCAGCCACAGGAAGUAUCCACCCUCCUGGUGCCCUGCCCAGAGUGCUUCCAGGGGCUGUAAGUCCUAGAUAGGCUCUGUUUAAUGUGCAUGUGCUAUUUUGGACUAAUUCGAACUAUUUUCAAGGUGUUCCCCAUAGUGAGGACACACUAAUUCGAAUUUGUUACAUCAGGAGUUAAGUCAAAUUUAGUAAUUUUGAAAUAAUUUCCUAAUGUAAACAUAGCCUAAGGGAAUAUCCUCCUGCACCAAUGUUCCAUUUAUUUCUGCACCACCUCAGAGAGAAAACAAAAUAUGCUUUCAUGUUCUUUCCUAAGUUUAGAUUUUACUAUUAUUUUCUUGUAUUUCCUUCCCUGUGUUCCCCAAGUGGAAAUAUACAGAUGUACUGCCAAUGAGGGGGAGGCAAAGGGAGCAGUUACCCAGGAGCCCGGUGAUGGAAAGGGGCCCAGGUCUCCCAGCUACCACUGCUGCUGCUGCUACUGUGGCAAUGGUGGCCACUGAAGCCACAGACCCUUUAAAUUAGCACUGGGGCCUUAUGUGGCACAUUCUAGAGCCUCGGGCAGCAUACUCCAGGUGACUCUGAGGACUGGUAUAAAGUGUCUUAGUAUGAUCUGGGCAGUGCUGAGGGAUGGCUGCACUCAAUCCUCAACCUUAAUGCCCAAGGCCUCACCCCUUCUGGGAACACAGAGCUGCCCCCAGUCCUAUCUUGGCCUGGGGCUCAGCAACUCUAUUGCACCCCCUGGUCCUUCAAGAACAAUGCAGAAAUAGACUAUGAAACUCAUUGUCACAUAAUGUUUCUAAGGUCAAAAGUUUAGUAAUACAAUGUUCUAUUAUAACAUCAGCAUAACCAGAUUAUCCACAUUUUCCAAUCUGUUGUACAGCAUAUUGUGAGAAAUAUGAAGGAAAUUUUUCUUUAAUUGUAAAAUUGUAUUCUGCUAUUCAUAUUCACAAUUGUGGAUAUAGGAUAUUUUCUUUCAUUUAUUUUCAUACUAGCCCACAGUUAAACCAAUUUCCACCAAAUUUCCUAGCAAUACACUAUCUAUGGAUUAUUUCAAGAUAAGGUCUUAUCUAAAAAUUAAAGGGAAAAACCUCUUAUAUUUUAAUAUACUAUAAAAUCUAGAUAGAAAGGCACCAGACUGAUGAAUAUGACUAGAAUAAACCCAUUUCACAGUAGAGAAGAUGUCUCUUUUGUCUCAUUAAGUCUAUGAGUCCAGACCAUUAGAUUUCUGCCUUUACUACCUAGCUGGCAUUGAAGAUCUUGACUAAAUGAAUGAAUUUCUAAAUCACUGCAGGAAGAUUUAUCUAGCUAUGUGGUUUUUUGUGGUAGGACAAGGAAGAUUUGACUUAAGUCCCUUGAACAUAAGAUUUACUUCUUUUCAUAACUCAGAUGAGUAACUUCUUGGAUUGCAUCAAAUUCUUCCCGGGAAAUAAAAUAUUUUUAGAUAAGGGUAUGUUAUAUCUAGGUAACAUUUUAAAUAUGAGAAGAUUUAUCUUACACUAAAAAAUUUUCUUAUUUGAAGAUGAGGAUGUGCCAAAGCUAAAUAAGAGAUGUCUUGGUUGAUAUGAAAGGAUGAAUUUAUUUCCACAGAAAAACUUAGACAUGAUUCCUAAUCUUGUGCUUUCUUCAUUGAAGGACAGAGUAAUAAUUUUGCUGUCCCUUCUAGCAGAGGUACUAGUAAUCAAAAGGGCUAUUUUAUAAGAAAGAAGAGUCUUAGGUAUAUAAUUAAUAAAUCAAAUUAUGAAAAACAAAGUUCACUCCUAGAAGAAAUGUAUCUUUCUAAUACUAAAUUCAGAUGGACUCAAAUAAUAAGCUGGGGGAGUUUAGCAAAUAAUUCUGCAUCUAAUGGCCCCAAGAUCUAAUGGCCCAUCUAAUGGCCCCAAACAUUCAAGUUUGGAUAAAAAUAACCUUUUAUAAAGCAUGUUUUGAAGGGGUUUAAGAAGGCUCAGUUUUUGAAAAAUGUGCAAGAACCUUUGCAAAUGCAAAAAGCGAUCCUGUGGACAAAUUCCUGAUGUAAAUGUGGAAUUUUCACACUUUGGAUAUAAUUUUUUUUGCUAUGAUAUUUGUGAAAAUAGGACACUGUAAAGUUCCUGAUUUUUCAGAUUCUACCCAUUCCAGUAGAAUAUGCUGCUAGAAAUCCAUGUCUAUAUGGGAAUCAAUAUAGUGAUGGGGAAGUACAUUAUGAAGGGGGAAGGGGUGGUAUUUUUAGCUUGGAACCAUAUACAGGCAAUGGGUAAAGGUGUCAAGAGUCUUUUAGUGACAAGUAUGCCUAAAUUCCAUUGACUCUCAAUGGGACUUGGCACUUUUGAAACAUUUAUCCAUUGUACUCCUUUUUUCAUUUUCAAAAGCAUUUUACAAACAUUAUUUCUUCCAUACUCUUUAAAUAUACUAGUUAGUCUUCUCGAUUUAAGUAACGCAUCAACUUUCUGCUAUUAAGUAAUCUCUUCAGAUUAAUCUUUUCAUGAUGCAUCCCAUUAAAGAUUUCUUGUCCUGAUGAUUUUGGAGAAAUGGCCCAUUGGACACAGGAGACAGAUCCUUAAAUAAAAAGCAAUCUAUAAACCAUAAAAAUCUAGGUCUCAUUUCAGUAAAAAGAAUUACUUUUGUUUUACCAUUUAUAAUCUCUU
Molecule: non-coding RNA, 4678 nt
Organism: Pelodiscus sinensis (Chinese soft-shelled turtle)
Lineage: Eukaryota; Metazoa; Chordata; Testudines; Trionychidae
Source: RefSeq, a predicted model, not a curated record